GAACAAGAGUAGAUCAUGUUAUUGGUUCAAAUAAAUAAAGCGAACGACACCCUUGGAGAGUUGUACAUAAAAUAAAAUAUUUAGGAGGAUAUUACAUCACGUUUGCAGCGGGUACCAAAGUUGCAGUGUGUUGCCUUAACGUUCUUAUUAUUGAUGCAAUUACCAACUAUUUGUUCAUUACAUAUCUCUGGUUUCCCUGUGGCCUUGUAAUUUAAUCUUCCUGAUCUAGCAUUACCACCUGCAGCAAGAAGAAUCCUACUACUUGUUUCUGAUUCCAUCAACAAUUCAUCGUCGUCCCGAAGACAAGCAUCUAUGCUGCUGCUUGUCCCGUUACAUUCUGAUACCGAUUCCACCUUUAUCACGGUUACAAGUAACACAAGGAGCAUCAUCAUCAUCGUCAUCCUCAUUGAUUUUAAUCCUUUCUUCUCACUUUGAUGUUGUUUAAAAUAGAUGAUACAUUUUUAAUGGUAGCUGGGAUAAGAAAUGAACGG
RNAcentral lists this unclassified non-coding RNA (491 nucleotides) under Hevea brasiliensis (rubber tree). Lineage: Eukaryota; Viridiplantae; Streptophyta; Magnoliopsida; Malpighiales; Euphorbiaceae. The record is from RNAcentral.